Molecule: ribosomal RNA, 433 nt
Filed under: uncultured bacterium
Lineage: Bacteria
Description: bacterial SSU rRNA
Rfam family: Bacterial small subunit ribosomal RNA
Source: RNAcentral
UCGAGCGCCCCGCAAGGGGAGCGGCAGACGGGUGAGUAACGCGUGGGAACCUACCUGAAGGUACGGAACAACUCCGGGAAACUGGAGCUAAUACCGUAUGUGCCCGAGAGGGGAAAGAUUUAUCGCCUUCAGAUGGGCCCGCGACAGAUUAGCUAGUUGGUGAGGUAACGGCUCACCAAGGCGACGAUCUGUAGCUGGUCUGAGAGGAUGAUCAGCCACACUGGGACUGAGACACGGCCCAGACUCCUACGGGAGGCAGCAGUGGGGAAUAUUGGACAAUGGGCGCAAGCCUGAUCCAGCCAUGCCGCGUGAGUGAUGACGGCCUUAGGGUUGUAAAGCUCUUUCGCACGCGACGAUAAUGACGGUAGCGUGAGAAGAAGCCCCGGCUAACUCCGUGCCAGCAGCCGCGGUAAUACGAAGGGGGCUAGCGUUG